This 28-nucleotide small RNA is filed under the name Bombyx mori (domestic silkworm). Its description in RNAcentral is "piRNA piR-bmo-1807452". The record is from RNAcentral. Lineage: Eukaryota; Metazoa; Arthropoda; Insecta; Lepidoptera; Bombycidae.
UAAACAUCAAAGUUGACCGACGUACGAA